GUUCAGCAAAUGGAGGCGCAUGGAAAAGGCUGGGACGCAGGCAGAGGAACGGAUUUCCUGGCCUACAAACACCCUGGCUCUUGUUUCGGGGGUGGGGUGGGGGUGGGGUGCUUUUUUUUUCUUAAAUCAAAUACGUACAGGUUAUUUACUGGGUGUCAGGCCCUGCAGGAGUGAUUGAGUGGGUGAGCAGGAACUCCAGGUCCUGUCCGGGUCACCCUGACCUCAAUAGCAGUGAGGGAUUUUUUUAGGCAGCAACAGGAUUUCUGGUGUCCAGUGCUUGAAAACUCAAGGGAAGAAAACCCCCAGCUCUCAAGCCAAGCAAGGAUCUUUGUCUCUAGGCUAACAGAACAUGUGGUUCCAACAUCUGGGGUUUGUAGCUUGCAAAAAUCUAAUCAGGAAGCCAGAGAGAUUGUCACAAAUUCCCACAACGCACUUUGGGUAUCUCUGCUCUUGGUCUGUUUAGAGCAGAUCAGCACUACCAGGAGUGAUGACCCUCAGUGGCUGGUGGAGCCACUAACUAUUAAGAGAACCAAUUUGAACAGCUGGAAACAAUAAGCAUAGGAGGAGAAGAAGACACGCGGAGGACUGAUAUUGCUCCACAGGGGCCGGUGGCAGCCUGUGCAUACAGAAGUAGUUCACGCUCCCCGAGAUGAUGGAAGAGGUGCUGAACACCUCAAGGAGCUCCCUGUGCGCUCUGCCACAGACAGCCUGUAGCUCCCCUGCCUCACACCCACAAGGCGCCAAAGGCAUUGUCUCUGCAAGGCCAGGGGGUUUUUGCAGAGCCUCUGGGCAUCCUGGGAAUGACACUGAGAACAGCAUCCAGAGAGACACCCACCUACCAGGCAAGGGGUGAGGCUCUACAGUGAAAGAUGGACCUAAGGAAUCAAUGGAGAUACACAGGCCAGCUACCAGCACAGAGAGCAGCAGGCGCUAGGUGGGAAUGUGGCUUUGUGCCUCAGCACUUGCAGAGGGAAGGACUUUAUCCCUGCCAUGGCACUGUUUCUCAAAGUCAGAUGUUAGAAGCUGACUGCCCACGUAGCAAUGCUGAGUCCGGGCCUAAUAAGAAGUGAUUGGGUCAUGAGGACCAGGUCUUCAUGAAUGGAGAAUGUGGUGGUUUGAAUAUGCUUGGCCCAUGGGAAGGGGAGCCAUUAAGAGGGGGUGGUCUUGUUGCAGGAAGUGUGUCGUUGUGUAGGCAGGCUUCGAGGGCCUAUGUUCAAGCUCUGCCUAGUGUGGAAAGGAGAGGCUCUUCCUGGCUGUCUGCCAAUCAAGAGGCUGUUCCUCCAGUACCAUGUCUGCCUGAACGAUGCCGUGUUCCCUGCCAUGAUGAUAAUAGACUGAACCUCUGAAACUGUAAGCCAGACUCAAUUAAAUGUUUGCCUUC
RNAcentral lists this long non-coding RNA (1381 nucleotides) under Mus caroli (Ryukyu mouse). RNAcentral describes it as "lncRNA (MGP_CAROLIEiJ_G0006256.1)". Lineage: Eukaryota; Metazoa; Chordata; Mammalia; Rodentia; Muridae. The record is from RNAcentral.